UGGGGAAUUUUGGACAAUGGGGGAAACCCUGAUCCAACCAUCCCGCGUGUGCGAUGAAGGCCUUCGGGUUGUAAAGCACUUUUGGCAGGAAAGAAACGUCAUGGGUUAAUACCCCGUGAAACUGACGGUACCUGCAGAAUAAGCACCGGCUAACUACGUGCCAGCAGCCGCGGUAAUACGUAGGGUGCAAGCGUUAAUCGGAAUUACUGGGCGUAAAGCGUGCGCAGGCGGUUCGGAAAGAAAGAUGUGAAAUCCCAGAGCUCAACUUUGGAACUGCAUUUUUAACUACCGGGCUAGAGUGUGUCAGAGGGAGGUGGAAUUCCGCGUGUAGCAGUGAAACGCGUAGAUAUGCGGAGGAACACCGAUGGCGAAGGCAGCCUCCUGGGAUAACACUGACGCUCAUGCACGAAAGCGUGGGGAGCAAACAGG
This 429-nucleotide ribosomal RNA is filed under the name Acidobacteriota bacterium. RNAcentral describes it as "Acidobacteria bacterium partial 16S ribosomal RNA". It matches the Rfam family "Bacterial small subunit ribosomal RNA", at positions 355 to 776 of the family's 1533-position model. The record is from RNAcentral. Lineage: Bacteria; Pseudomonadati; Acidobacteriota.